Oryctolagus cuniculus (rabbit) is the source of this 10561-nucleotide non-coding RNA. The record is from RefSeq and is a predicted model, not a curated record. NCBI's taxonomy places the organism in Eukaryota, Metazoa, Chordata, Mammalia, Lagomorpha, Leporidae.
CUUGGAGCGGCAGGGCUUAACCCGGUGCGGCUCAGAGGUGGUUUCUGAAGGACUCGAAGAGGCAGCUGCAACAAGGCAUCACUUACUGCACAAGUGUAUCCAUUUCUGAGAGCGAAAGCAAGAACUUAAGCGGGUGGUACUUGGAGCGUAAAUUGCUUUGUAGUAUUUAAAAGCAGCAUGGAUCGUGGGCAACCGAGCUGAAAUAUGUCAUGAGAAUAAAUGAGAUAAUUUAGAAGAAGUACUUUGAGAUCCUGGAAAGAAAAUGCAUUGAGCUUAUCCAAGUUGUUGUAGUCCUUAGUAUACUCAUUUAUUAAAUACUACAUUGAAGUUGACCUGAAGGUAAGGUUUGGAACUUUACUAUUACUGUAUUCGAACAUAAGGCUUCUACAAAAUUGUUUGCAAUUUGCUUCCAGGCUAACAAUACAUGUUAGAAUUUCUCAUUUUAUUGAAUAUGAAGUUGUGGAAUUGCUUCCCUUCCUAAGUGCAUUUGCAAUGUAAACAAUUUGUUUUACAAAUCAAGGGCAUUUUUCAUAGCUGACAUGUUGUAAUUUCCAAUAGAAAUAUAAGCUAAAUUGAUGAGUUCAUUAGGAGGCGUAGAGUAAGGUGAUGCUCAUUUAUUUUCAAGGGAUGAAUAUAACAGGAAUACUAAGUUUGUUUUUAUUUUUAUUGUUUUCCUUCUGAACAAAAGAAUGAAGAAAUCCCAAAUUGUCAAAAAGGGAAAACAAUGGGCGAACAGAAGCUUGUGAAUAAAAGAUUUUGAAUGGAGAAAAAAAGGAUAACUUACUACAAAAAGACUAAUAAUUUAAAUGCAGUCUUCCCUUCUUUGUGCAUGAACAGAAGGCAAAGCUUUUUUGUUAUGAGUAUUCUUCUGUUUUUGUCUUAUCAGAUUACCUCUCCUAUUUUCCAAUUGUACAAGUAUAUAGAGAGACACUAGUCUAGGUUACCCAAUUCCAGACCAUAAGUGGAUAGUCUAAAAAAAAGCUGAGUCUGAGACAUUACUUUAGUCUGAUGAAAGACCAUUUUUCCCAUAUUAAUUAUCUUCUAUUUUUUAAAUUAUUUGUAAAUGAGAGAGGAGGGCUUUUUCAAGAACAGGAAUGUCCUUCUUUAUUCCUGAACCAGAGCUUUCCAGAGGCAGACAUCCUCUGUAUGGACAAGUUAGGGACCUUAUUUUAUAUUUGACAAUUCUAGAUUGAUAAAAAAAAUAGAAUGUUUUCCACCAUUCCUAAUUUUUUUUUUAACCUGGGAAGAAAUAGAUUGAGUUCCAGCAAGUGCAACAUUAUGUUCUUUAUUUGAAUACAAAAAGAAUUGUAAUCCACUAAAAUAAUGUGUUAGAUCAAAUGUAUAAAAUAGAAUAAAGCCAUAAUAAAGUUCUGCUGUCCUUCUAAAGGCAUAUGUCACUGAAUUCAAAUAAUAUUCCUUCAAAUAUUAGAAAAUGCUAUGCAUUAUCUUUAUGAGUAGUUAUAAAGAGAAUACCAUUUUGACGUCUUUAUUUUUAACAGCACUGUCAAUAUAAUGUAUUCAUAUUAUUAGAGUUGGAAAUGCUAAUUCAAAUCUAUAUUACCUUACGAGAAAAUGUAAGAAGGAUGCCAAAAUCUGUUUUAAGAAAAUGAAACUUAGACUUGAGACAUUUGUAGUAUAUGUUUCCAAAGCAUUGGCCCAAAAUAUAGACAGAACAUAUAUAUUUUUUAAAGAGAUGAGUAUGUUUAAAUUGUGUGAGUAAUUUAUUAUAAUAAGCAAAGAAAUUUGCUUCCCUUUAUGCUUAACACACUUUUUAGCAGGAAAUUGCUCACCUAGGAACCAUCAAUACUCUUAUACCACUUACACUGUCUUGCAGUAUAAGGCUUUUGUAUUUGGGGGUGUAUAUUUUACAUCUUCUAACUCACUGACUGAUGGAUGCUUAUCAUGACAUUUCCGGAACCUGAGCUGGGAGAGCCAAGAAGGGUAAGUUGAGGCUCCCCUCUUGUGUUCCUCCUCAGUGUUAUGACUGUAUUCUGCAGAGAAGGAAUUUAAAGGUAAUCUUUCUUCAAAUUUCCUCUUAGUAUGAAUUGUUACAGGUUGGGGACAGAGGGUUACCCUAUUUGCUGAUCUUUGGCCAAAAUAUACAAUUUUUAAGAUUUAUUGUUGAAAAUUCUAAUUUCGUAUAUUAUUUCUGCUUCUGUAUACUGGAUAUAUAGAUAUUGAAACAGAAAAAUACCAACAGGUAUGUAUGUGAGUAAAUUAUUUUAUACAUUGAAUAUUUAUAAUUAUAUAGCAAUAUUUUCAACUAUAAUUGAACUUUGAUCCAAACAGUAAAAUUUUUUAAGUAAAACAAAUAUAUUUCACAAAAUAUAUUAUUUGAUAUAUACACUAAUGCAGCCAUUUAUAUACUAAUGUAGCAUUUUACCUAAAAGAAAAAUAAAAAACCUAGUGUGUGACCUUGAAAUUUUUUCCUGUAUAGAUCAGUGCCUCUAGUGUGUAUAGGCAGUGGAACUAGCUAAGCCAUCUCUCCCUCAACAUGAUAUCCAGUGUUCUUGUAGAUUGAAAGAAAAGUGAAAGAAGGGGUAAAACGCAUAAUAUUCCCCCUUCAGUAUAACAAAAUAUUUACUUUGGUAUUUAUUGCUCUAAAUUAAUUUGAGCAGAAAAUAAUGAAUGAUGAAUUACUUAAGGAGAGUAAAAUGCAACUGUAAAGAAUGAUACCCCUGAAGAUGAUGAUGUAUUAGGCAGACCAGCAUGGACAUCUAAAUAUGAAUUUGUAAAGAAAUUGUCAGGAAUAAAGAAUAUUAAGGAGCAGACAAUAUAAGAAGGAAAUAUGCUAAGAGAUGAUAGUGAGAAUACUGGCUUAAAUGUAAUUAUAUGUUCAUAUUAGGGAAUUACUGUUCAUUCUAUCUUGGAUAGAACAGGUUCAAUCAGGUGAUGGAGAGUAUUGAAAACCAGAUGCAGCACAUUGUGCCUGAUUGCAGUGGUCAAUAGGACACUAUUGUAGAUUAUUAAGGAGAAAACAAAAGCAAUGGGUUUGAAAGAGUAAAUCAGUGAUAAGAAGAAUAAAAGCUUUUGGGAAAGAAGAUUCUGGAAAGACUACCAGAUUCCAUGCACUAAAAAGCUACUGCAUGAGUUGGUAAUAGGAGGAAAUAAUGGACAUAUUUCAUGUCUUGAUGGAUUUUGUCACUGCAAGAAACACUGCAUGCAGUGAAAGACAGAAAACUGAUACUUUUUUUUCACUUUUCUCUUAAUUUGGUUAAAGUGAAAGACUUUAAUGAGCUUAUGGUAUAAAUUAAAGGAGACUUUGAAGAGAACCUGGUACAAUUGUUAAAGGAAAUAGAAUGUUUCCAGGGAUCAUGGGCAUAGAUGAAUCUAGAAUACUGAUGAAAAUAAAGAGACUUCAGUAAAUAUGAGAAAAUAGACGUAGAAACAGUGCUCUCUAGGAGUAUAUUAAUUAGAAUUCCAUGGUUAUAAUAAAAACUGAUUUUUAAUGAUAACUCAGAGCAAUAGAGCAUCUUGAAUUGCUUUCUAAACAUUCAGUGAUUAAUUUGUGCUCAAAAUAGGUUUAGUACUCUUGUUAGCAGACACAAAGGAUCCAUUCUUGGGGUGCUGAAAAGCACUCAGCCUCAAGCGGGAGUGUCUCAGACAGAAGCUGUAUUUACCUCUGACAAGAAUAAGAGAUGGUGGGAAGCUAUAGUUCCUUGAAGAACCACCUCCUUGAGAAGCCGUUUUCUAGGGCUUUAACAGCAAAUAUUCAGGGAGAUUCCAGGAUGUAGCAGAGGGUCCCUCCUGCUUAAGGAAAAUACUUCAUCCUCCAUAUGUUUAAAACUCUGACUCAGAUUAAUUUCUCUCGGUGUUCCUUGAUUGACUAGUGGGCUGGCCCCCUUGACAUACAGUAUUUCAAGAUAAACUUUCCUGCAACAUCCUCUAAAAAACAAGUUCAGUUCAGUCAACUGUCUCAGAUUUUCUGCCUCUAUUCUUGUGCUCCCUCUUGCCUAAGUCCUACGCUCUGGAUUUUAAUAUCAAUGUAUCAUAAUCCUAUGAAAACAAGUAAAUCAUGUGUGUUUACACAAAAACUUUCUAGCAACCAGAAAAUAUAAAAUUAGAAAAUGUAUUUUUUUCUAAUGAGAAUGAUACUAAAGUAUUUCUUACCUUUGCCAAAUAACCAUUAGAAAUUAUGGAACUUUCAAUACAAAUCUGAAGUAUUUUUAAAUUUUUUAAUGAGAAAGCAAUCCCAAAUCUUUACAUACUUAGAGAAACAUCUUAUUCUUGUGUAAAUACAAACUUCAGAUUAAAAAAAUAUUACUUGAUGACUCUGAGAAGAAAAUUCAGAAUGGCAUUGCCUUAUAUUGUUUCCCUGUUGAAUUUUACCAAAAUUUAUACAAUAAAGAUUUUAUUACUAAGUGUAAAUAAUCAAAUCUCUUAGAACCAUAAGGAUCAGGCUAUCACACUGGUGUUAUUUCUUAUGUGAAAUUAUUUUGAGAUAUAAUCAGAUUUUAACAGAACAUGAAUGCUUUUCUAAAAUCUAGUUUUUUAUGGAUAAAAAUCAAAUGUUUGUAAAAUAUAAACAUGAUAUCUCUAAACAGUACAGAGACUUCUGUUUAAUCAGGCAAUCUUCAUUAACAUGUACAAAUAAGAUCCUGAUUAAUGAAUUGACAACAUUCUAAUUUUACAGAAAUUUUUCAUGGUGUGUUUUUGAUUUUUGUAUGAAAACAAUUAGAAAAAGAGGAGUUUUAGGAGAGGUGAUAAUGACCCUUUCAAGAUAAGAAUGAUGACCAUCUUUCACUUAGUGAGUGCUUACUAAAUGUCAGGCAUCAUGAUAAAAUCUAUAGUAUUUGAUUUUUCCAGCAUCUAUCUUUCUCAUCUAAUAUGAGAAAAAUAACUUUGAAAAUCUUUAAUAUCUUCCCUAAAAUCACACAGUUAAUAAUGUAUCAGCAUCAAUUUUCAAAUCCAGGGAGAAAUUCUUUCAAUAGCCAUGACCUUUGCCACUUUUUCAUACUGUCUUUUGAUAUGUGGUUCAAAAUGAGGAAAUUGGUCAAAAAGGUCGGUGUGAGUGAUCACUUGUUUGCAGCUUGGGAGAAAAACACAACAAUCAAGAGUAUAAAAACUGUAUAGAAUCAUGAAAUUUUAAACUUUUAAUUUUAGAGGGAGAGAGACAGAGACAGCAUUUUGUCCCGUAGUUCAUUCCCCCAAAAUCCACAGUGGCUGGAAGCUAGGAACCCAAGCCAGGUCUUCCACACACGCAUGGCAGAAUUCCAAUUAAUGAAGCCGUUGCCAUUGCAUCCCCUGCAGUCGGGAGCUGCAAAUGGGUAUUGAACAUAGACACUUCCUUAUGGGAUGUGGGAAUUUUAGGUGCUAAGACAAACACCCACCCCAAAUAAUGGAAAUUUAAAGAUAGCAAUACAAUUUUCAGAUCAUAGAGUCCAGGUUCUCAACUGAGAAAACUAAGACUCAAAAUAGGAAAUUAGCGAGUGACAUUACAGAUAGAUCAAAUCAAAUAGGCAUUUAGUUAAUCAGUUUUAUAAUAUUUACAGUAAAACCCUAAUGUGUGUGUAUAUAUAUAUAUAUUACAUAUAGUGUGUACAUGCACACACGUGUAGACAAUCUCUCUUAACAUUGGAGAUAUGAUGGGGAGAGGAGAUUAUGAUGAGAAGGCAAGUCACUAAAUUGUUCUCUACAACAUUUCAAAGGGCAAAAAAAGCCUGUUUGUCAUAAUCUGUCAAGAGUUAAUAUUAAAUGCAGAAGAACAACCUAGUGAACUCCUUCAAUAUAUGAGGCCCGUAUUACAUAUUUCUACAUUUAUUAUCUCAUUUAACACUCACAAGUGGUGUUUGGAACUGUUAAAGUGCGCAGUUAAUAUAUGAGUAUCAAUAUUAAUACUUGUUGGCAAGUAUACUCAUUUUAGAAUUAUCUACCAGUCCUACAUUCACAGAUAAAAAUGUAAUAAUUAUAUAAUGAUAUCUAUCAGUGUGGUGUGAAUACUAAUCAUUUUCUCCUCUGGCUUAUUUAAGAUAUAAGGGAAAAAUUGUAUGCAUUUAAAAUGAUAUCUGUUAUACUUGUGUACCUUGUGAAACAUAUACCAUGAUCAAACUAAUCAACAUAUUCAUCACCUCAUUGUCAUAGUUACAUGUUUUGUAUGUGUUAAGAAUACUUUCAUAUUUCCAAAAAAUUCAGUAAUACGACAAGAAAUUAUUGCCUGUAGGCAUCAUGCUCUUCAUUAGAUCCUCCGAGCUUAUAUAUAACUAAACUUGUGUGCACUUUGAACAGUAUCUCUUCAUUUCUCCCAUCCCACAGUCCCUGGCUAACACUAUUCUCACUGUUCUGAAGAGUUUGACUUCUUUAGAUUCCACAUAUCAGUUAGAUCAUGGAGUUUUUGUCUUUCUUAUCUGGCUUACUUUAUCUAGCAUAAUGUCGUCAGGGUUCUGCCAGCAGGAUUCCCUUCUCUUUUAUGGCUGAGUCUAACAUUCCAUAUUGUGUGUAUGAGUGUGUAAUGUAUCCAUCCUUGUGUCAUCAACAGGGACUUCGGUUAUUUCUCUGCCUUUGCUUUUGUGAAUAAUGCUGCGAUGGACAUGGGAUAUGUCUUCAACAUGCUGAUUUCAUUCCCUUUGGAGAUAUACCCAGAAGUAGAGAUGUUGGAUCAUAUGGUAGAUAGUUUUCUAAUUUUCCGAGAAACCUCAAUAUUGUUUUGUUUAAUGACUGUGCCAAUUUACAUUCCCACCAACAGUGCACAACAGCUCCUUUUAAACUAUUCCUAACACUUGUUAUUCUUUCUCUUGUAAUAAAAGUCAUCCUGGCAGAUGUGAGAUGGUUUGAUUUAGACUUCCCUAAUGUUAGUGAUAUUGAAUACUUUUUUCACAUGCUUCUUGGUCAUUUAUAUCAUCUUCUUAAAAGUGUCUAUUCAGGCCCUUUGCUUAUUUUUUUAGUUAUAUUAUUUGGUGUUUUACUACUGAGUUAUUUGAAUUCCUUAUACAUGUUGUAUAUUUAACCUACCUUUGGCACUUUAGGCUGGCACAAAAAAAAAAAUACUUCCGAGUGGGAAGUUUGUAAACAACAAUUUAUUGCUUCCAGUUCUGGAGGUUGGAAUGAAUAUAAUAAGGCACUGGCAGAUUCAGUGUCAUGGAUGGUGCUUCCUACUUUGGCCUCACAUGUUGGAGACAAAGGGUUUUCAAGUUCCUUCCAGCCACUUUUAUAAGGACUCUAAUGCCAUUUAUCCCUCAUGGCCUACUCCACUCUGACAAUCCCCAUGUCUUCACACCAAGGCAUUGAGGAAUAAUUUUCAACAUAUAAUUUGGAAGGAGGUAGGGUACACACAUUGAGAUCAUGGUCAAUACCUUAUCAGAUGUGUGGAUUUUAAUUAUCUUAUUCUAUUCCAGAGGUUAUAUCUUCACACUGUUGACUGUUUCCUUGAGAAUGCAGAAGCAUUUUAGGUAGAAUUCCAGACGACCAAUGCUUUAAAAACAAAGUUGCCUCUAGUUGGAUAUGCCUUGGUACAUCCCAGCACUUUACUAUGGAAUAUGAUUAUGUUUCUAUACAGUGCAAGCUUUUCUAUCCUAGAGUAUCUGAUUGCAAGUGCUUUAAAUGGUAUUCAAAUAUUAUUUUGUUUACAUAUGGUUUUUCUGAUAUCCAAAAAUGAAAUGAUUUAAAUAAGCGCACACACACACCAAUAUAUAGCAUCUAUGAUCCAGAUCCAGUUUCUGGACCUCUGUUUCUGCACUAUAAUCUACUAAAGAUAUUGUUGAAGGUGUAGAUUCCCGGCUGUACUCCAGACAAACUGAAUCAGAAUCUAAGGCUUGAGCCAGAUAUGCAUUUUUAACAAAUUCUUGGUGAUUUCUGGGGCUUGUGCUGUGGUUCAGUAGGUUAAUCCUCUGCCUGCGGCGCCGGCAUCCCAAAUGGGCACCGGUUCUAGUCCUGGCUGCUCCACUUCUGAUCCAGCUCUCUGCUAUGGCCUGGGAAGGCAGUGGAAGAUGGCCCAAGUCCUUGGGCCCCUGCACCUGUGAGGGAGACCCGGAGGAAGCUCCUGGCUCCUGGCUUCAGAUUAGAGCAGCACCAGCUGUUCUGGCCAUUUGGGGAAUGAACCAACAGAAGGAAGACCUUUCUCUCUGUCUCUCCCUCUCACUGUCUGUAACUCUGCCUCUCAAAUAAAUAAAUAAAAUCUUAAAAAAAACAAAACAAAACAAAAUUCUUGGUGAUUUCAAUACAUGUUAAUGCUGAGAAGCCUUACUCUGUAUUCUCAGUCAAAAGCUGUUCCUUAUUGCCACCAAAGGGUUAAUUUAGCAACUAUGAAAGCAUUUUUCCUGUUUAUUUUUUGCAUUAUAUUGUGGGAGAUUCAUAACUCAUAUGUAUCAGGAAGAACCUUGUCUUGAGAGGAAAAAAAUAUCAAUGUUGGAAGCAGUUAUUUUCUUUUCCUGAAGAAUAAAUAUAUGUAUACAUGUAUAUGUAUGUACACUUACUUGUAUAUGAAAUAGGAAGGAAAAAUUAACUACUGUUGUCACCCUCAUAUAAAUAACGUUUUUAAGAAGUUAAGUUGGGUAUAUGAUUCCAAGAAGAGAUAUCACAUUUGUGUGCAUUUUGUCCUUAUUUUUGAUUCUCCUAUCUACACAACCCUUUACAGUGAAUAAUGGAUGCCCUGUACUCCUUUGUAAUACAGUCACUGAAUUGCACUCAUGGAAAUCUUCUUUAAAGGUCAUCUUGUCCUUCGCUUGACCUCCAAACCUCAUGUAUUUGAAAUUCUAUUUUUAAAAGAUUUCCACAAUUGCAAUGUUCUGAAGUCCCCUGAGAACCCAUUUAGUGUUGAACAGUCUUUUCCAUUAUCAAAAGCGUCUUUCUUCCUUCCCCUGUUUUUCUAUUAAAAUUCAUCAUUCUCUGUUAUGUUUUCAAUGAAAAUGGAAAAUCCGUGGUCAUCAUCAUCUGUGACAUAACCCUUCAUUGAAGACUGUUAAUAAAGACCCUUUAACCAGUUCUUCUCUAGCCAAGUAACAUAAGUCCUUUAAACAUUCAUUAGAAUUUCCAUUUUCUAAUCCUUCAGUUAUUUCUUUUCUUCAAUCUUGAGCUCACUUCAACCUCAAGUUCUGGGAUGUGAAACUAGACAGUAGGAGCUCGCCUUGGCUGAAUAUAAUAGUAGGAUUACCUUGCUGUUCUUAUUUACUCUACUCCUAUAUAUGCAUCCUGUAGAACUCUGAGAGGUACAGAUAAGAUGUAAAUGGUGUCCUGAUGCUCAUGGUCUUGAAUAAUUUCAUAGCAUUUUUUCAUAAAGAUAUGGAUGCUAUUCCCAGGAACCUGGCUAGUUUGUAUCACAGGUAAUUACUUUCGGCCUAUCUAUAGCAUUCUAGGUUUCAAUUAGAUGAAAUAUUCUUCAUUUUCACCGAGAAAGCCAUUAUUGCAAAAAGUUGUUUCAGCGGAACAAAACAGCACUGCAUUUUAACAGAGAAAGGACCACUUUAUAUUCAUCCUGUAAAAAGGCUAACAUUCCUCACAGGUAUGAAACACAGUAAUACAGACUCUUUCUCCCCAAGUUAAUGUACAUGAUUCAACAUGCUAUUUUUUUCUUUUAUAUCCUGAUCUGGUUUAGUUAUCCUAAAUGCUAUGAAGAAAAUCUACCUUGAUAAUGUAUUUUCAUUCACUAGUUACAGUGACUUUUUAAGAUAGAACUUGACAGGUGGCAUUUACCAGAUAAAAUGCUGGGCCAUAUUUGAGGGCCUGGGAUUGAUUCCUGGUUUCAGCCCCUAGUUAUUUGUUAAUGCAGGCAGGAGGUGGCAGUGUUGAUGUUUUAAGUAAUUGAGUCUUUGCCACCAUGUAGAAGUCCUGGAAUCAGAUUCAUCCAUCCAGGGGCCAAUGUGGGUAUUUGGUGAGUGAAUGAUGGAAGUUCUUUAUCUCUGCCUGUGUUUGUCUUUCUGUCCUCAAUAAUUUUUAAAAAGAUAUUUUGAAAAAUUAAAAGUUAGGUAAAAUAUGAAAUUGUCAAAAUUGCAAGUGAUAUGUAUGUAUACUUGUUUUAUUGAUAUUAUUGAACAUACAGAGGAUUUACUUCAUUUUUUAAGAUUUUAUUUAUUUAUUUAUUUGCAAGGUAGAGUUACAGACAAAGGGAAAUACAUGGAGAAGGGUCUUCCAUCUGCUGGUUCACUCCCUAGAUGGCCACAACAGCUGGAGCUGAGCCAAUCCAAAGCCAGGAACCAAGAGCUACUUCUGGGUCUCCCACAUGGGUGCAAGGGCCUAAGCACUUCGGCCAUCUUCUACUACUUUCCUAGUCCAUAGUAGAGAGCUGGGUCAGAAGAGGAGUAGCCAGGACACGAACCGACACCCAUGUGGGAUGCCGGCACCACAGGCAGAGGCUUAACACACUAUGCCACAGCUCCAGCACCAAGAAUUUACUUUUUUUUUGCUUGUCUUUUAUUGUCUUCUUCCAUGUUAGAAAAGACCAAAGAAUAUGAAUAUAUGUAUGUAUAUACAUAUAUAUAUGAACACAUGUAUAUGCACACAUUAUUCCAUAAAAACCAGUUGAUCAUUUAUAUGUCAGUGCCUACAAUUUAUUAGUCAUCAAAAAUUCGAAAACAUGUUAGAGCAUUCUGGCUUUUGAUGUAUUCUCUAUUUGAAUAGAUUUGCUUUUUUU